UAAUAGCCCUGAUGGGAGCAAGCUACCGUGUAGCGCGGACAGCAGGAACAAGG
RNAcentral lists this small RNA (53 nucleotides) under Flavobacterium cauense R2A-7. Its description in RNAcentral is "Flavo-1 RNA". The record is from RNAcentral. Lineage: Bacteria; Pseudomonadati; Bacteroidota; Flavobacteriia; Flavobacteriales; Flavobacteriaceae.